GUACCCAUUUCAGCAGCACAAAUCCACAAACUGGAAUGAUACAGAGAACAUUAGCACGACUCCUGUGCUGGAAUGACAUCCAAAUCCAUAAAGUACUCUAAUUAAAA
Small nuclear RNA from Heterocephalus glaber (naked mole-rat), 107 nucleotides. The record is from Ensembl. NCBI's taxonomy places the organism in Eukaryota, Metazoa, Chordata, Mammalia, Rodentia, Bathyergidae.